CCCGGGAGUUUUUUUCUUUUACAUGCAAUUUUUGAACUAUAUCAUGUAUAUGUAUGCCUUAGCACUAUCUAGUUGAAUGUAACAUAUUCAGUAUUUGGAAGUCUGAUUUUCUAGAACCGUGCACCAGUAGUUUGAAGAUAGUUGCGUUGUGUAAACGUGAUUAAAUUUUUAGAAAGUACUCAAAAGUUGCCCUCCUAUUUUAUUUUUCAAAUUUUGUCGACGACAUUGCUAAUUUGAGCGUAUUAAGUUAUUUGUAGGUAUUUACCUUAUACAUGUUAAACAUAUUACACCUUGUAAGCCCAAUUAAUUGGGAAUAGUCUUAUAUCUUAACAAUCUGUUUAUUCAAUAUUACUUAAAUUGUGAUGAGUCGAACUUGCUUGAUUCAAGCUUCGAUCUCGA
RNAcentral lists this long non-coding RNA (399 nucleotides) under Mytilus galloprovincialis (Mediterranean mussel). The record is from RNAcentral. Lineage: Eukaryota; Metazoa; Mollusca; Bivalvia; Mytilida; Mytilidae.